GACGAACGCUGGCGGCGUGCCUAAUACAUGCAAGUAGAACGCACAGUUUAUACCGUAGCUUGCUACACCAUAGACUGUGAGUUGCGAACGGGUGAGUAACGCGUAGGUAACCUGCCUGGUAGCGGGGGAUAACUAUUGGAAACGAUAGCUAAUACCGCAUAAUAUUGAUUAUUGCAUGAUAAUUGAUUGAAAGAUGCUAUUGCAUCACUACCAGAUGGACCUGCGUUGUAUUAGCUAGUAGGUGAGGUAACGGCUCACCUAGGCGACGAUACAUAGCCGACCUGAGAGGGUGAUCGGCCGCACUGGGACUGAGACACGGCCCAGACUCCUACGGGAGGCAGCAGUAGGGAAUCUUCGGCAAUGGACGAAAGUCUGACCGAGCAACGCCGCGUGAGUGAAGAAGGUUUUCGGAUCGUAAAGCUCUGUUGUAAGAGAAGAACGGGUGUGAGAGUGGAAAGUUCACACUGUGACGGUAGCUUACCAGAAAGGGACGGCUAACUACGUG
RNAcentral lists this ribosomal RNA (505 nucleotides) under uncultured bacterium. Its description in RNAcentral is "partial 16S ribosomal RNA". It matches the Rfam family "Bacterial small subunit ribosomal RNA", at positions 28 to 507 of the family's 1533-position model. The record is from RNAcentral.